This 490-nucleotide ribosomal RNA is filed under the name uncultured bacterium. RNAcentral's name for it is "partial 16S ribosomal RNA". It matches the Rfam family "Bacterial small subunit ribosomal RNA", at positions 30 to 507 of the family's 1533-position model. The record is from RNAcentral.
AUUGAACGCUGGCGGCAGGCCUAACACAUGCAAGUCGAACGGUAACAGGAAACAGCUUGCUGUUUCGCUGACGAGUGGCGGACGGGUGAGUAAUGUCUGGGAAACUGCCUGAUGGAGGGGGAUAACUACUGGAAACGGUAGCUAAUACCGCAUAACGUCGCAAGACCAAAGAGGGGGACCUUCGGGCCUCUUGCCAUCGGAUGUGCCCAGAUGGGAUUAGCUAGUAGGUGGGGUAACGGCUCACCUAGGCGACGAUCCCUAGCUGGUCUGAGAGGAUGACCAGCCACACUGGAACUGAGACACGGUCCAGACUCCUACGGGAGGCAGCAGUGGGGAAUAUUGCACGAUGGGCGCAAGCCUGAUGCAGCCAUGCCGCGUGUAUGAAGAAGGCCUUCGGGUUGUAAAGUACUUUCAGCGGGGAUGAAGGGAGUAAAGUUAAUACCUUUGCUCAUUGACGUUACCCGCAGAAGAAGCACCGGCUAACUCCGUG